UGGGGAAUAUUGCACAAUGGGCGCAAGCCUGAUGCAGCCAUGCCGCGUGUAUGAAGAAGGCCUUCGGGUUGUAAAGUACUUUCAGCGGGGAGGAAGGGAGUAAAGUUAAUACCUUUGCUCAUUGACGUUACCCGCAGAAGAAGCACCGGCUAACUCCGUGCCAGCAGCCGCGGUAAUACGGAGGGUGCAAGCGUUAAUCGGAAUUACUGGGCGUAAAGCGCACGUAGGCGGUUUGUUAAGUCAGAUGUGAAAUCCCCGGGCUCAACCUGGGAACUGCAUCUGAUACUGGCAAGCUUGAGUCUCGUAGAGGGGGGUAGAAUUCCAGGUGUAGCGGUGAAAUGCGUAGAGAUCUGGAGGAAUACCGGUGGCGAAGGCGGCCCCCUGGACGAAGACUGACGCUCAGGUGCGAAAGCGUGGGGAGCAAACAGG
RNAcentral lists this ribosomal RNA (429 nucleotides) under Chloroflexota bacterium. RNAcentral describes it as "Chloroflexi bacterium partial 16S ribosomal RNA". It matches the Rfam family "Bacterial small subunit ribosomal RNA", at positions 355 to 776 of the family's 1533-position model. The record is from RNAcentral. Lineage: Bacteria; Bacillati; Chloroflexota.